Long non-coding RNA from Hipposideros armiger (great roundleaf bat), 878 nucleotides. RefSeq lists it as uncharacterized. NCBI's taxonomy places the organism in Eukaryota, Metazoa, Chordata, Mammalia, Chiroptera, Hipposideridae. The transcript is spliced from 4 exons. The record is from RefSeq and is a predicted model, not a curated record.
CAUAUGGAUUAAGUGUCCCCGCAAAUCCCAGGAUCUUACAGAUGAGGGUACAGGGCAAGGGCACUGAGGGGAGGGGGGGGGGAGGGAGCAACAUCGAGCUGGUGCAGAAGACAGGCCUGCAGCUAGUCGGAGGGCAUCCUCAGAGGGCAUGGGUACCACCCCUCCAUGGGCCUGUUCAUACCACCGUCUCUCUGGCUGGGUACCAGGCUUUAAGAAAACUGUCUGAUGGAGUGUCCUUUUUAGAUGCAAAACCUGAGGUCCACAGAGGUGCACGUGGAUGUCAGCGCCAGGGACUGAUUCCAGAGCUGGUGCUUUUCCACACAUCGGAAUGAAAUCCUAGCAACAGGAGGGAUAACAGGAGCAACAGACGGUCAUCAAGGACCCAGGCAAUCAAAUAGAGAACUAUUCUUGCAGCUUAAUCAUGGAAUACUUCCUGAGAGAUGAAAGUGUCGAGCAAGGAUUGGGCAGGGAGGUGGGAAAGGAAGGGGUCCCAACAGGAACAGGACGAGGGCCGUGUCAGAGAGUCUCCGACAUGUCGCCAUAAAUUGUCUUCUGAGGAGGAAGCCAGAUCCAACGUCCAGUUCUAGCAGUGAAGCCCCUGAGAAGAGGCUGGAAUAACCAGGGCGAAAGGGACUGGUAUGGGGGUGUGUGUGGGGGGGUGUCACUGAGUAGCUUUGCUGGCUGGACCAAUCCGGCUGCCCCACUGCAGGAUCUCCUGGAUGGACAGCCACUGGGUGAGGGGCAGGGAGGGGAUUUUAUGUAAUAAAAUUGUACAGUUGCUCCCUGAUCAAGAACCCUCAUAGCUUCCUGGAGUCCCUCAUAACACACCUAAAAUAUACUCUCAAAGCUUCCUUCAAAAAGCCCUGUCCUGCCCCGAA